Magnolia sinica is the source of this 1710-nucleotide long non-coding RNA. RefSeq lists it as uncharacterized. The record is from RefSeq and is a predicted model, not a curated record. NCBI's taxonomy places the organism in Eukaryota, Viridiplantae, Streptophyta, Magnoliopsida, Magnoliales, Magnoliaceae. The transcript is spliced from 2 exons.
AAGGCAUACGAAGGUCUGUCCACUUGACGAGGAUAGAACCUUAGAUAGGAAUGAUAGACAAACAAGAUUCAUGAAGCCAACUCCUAAUAGACAGGACAAGGCUAUAGUGAAGGCAUUGGUUUUUGUACAUUUUUUGAAGAUAAUAAAUUUGAACAAAACAAUGCAAGGACAAUAAAAACCGGCGUUAUGAUGUUCGUAUCAAAAUGUACUAUGAUAAAAUCAUGCUUUUGAAAAGAUAUUUUGAACGUUGGUCAUAACAUAUCCCAUUUCCUUUUCUUUGAAUUUUACAAUUAGACAGGCAGUGGUACUUUAACAUGUUCUACUGGUGUCGUCAAUCAUUUUGAAGGGUAUGAAUGCAAGUAGCACCUAACUUCCUACAUGAAUGCAGGGCAGAUGUGUACAAGAUACUGCCAUUCAUUCCACAGGCCACCAUAUAUGGGCCAUGGUUCACAGACUAGAUUGAUUGGAUGAUCCUAGCCACUUGAUCAGAGCAGGCCAAAAAAAAGGGCAGUGGGGAUUUUUUUGGUCAAAUCGACUAGUCCUACAGUCCUGGUGUUACCAGGUCCGAUGUGUUGGGACCUACCUGACGAUUGUGUGAGGAGCUUGUACAUGUUUGCCACGUGUCCCAUUGGGAAUGUUAUUCAGUAACAUGUGCAAUAAUUUGUGUUCAAUUAAGAUUCCUUGUAACAGGCAGGGUCUGGGUUGCAAUAUACACCUUAGCACAUGCCGUGUCACCAUUCACAAAAACCAAGUACAGGAUGUGUGAAAUGGCGCCUGGAAUUCUCUACCAUACAGUUUUUAACGGUUUCUAGAACGCACUAUGCCAACAACUAGAUUACAAUAUCAAAGGAGUGGAGAAAACAUGGCUAUUCCACUCCUUACUUUCAUCAGAUAACUGAAAGGAGAAGAUGGUCCCAAUGCAGUUAGGUUACAUGGUCUCUGGAGAGAAGCUUAUAUCAUCAGAGCAUGCAAAUUUAGGUGCUUGAUAAUUAACAACAAGACUUUUACUUUUGGCAUGUCUUAAUCAUUGUGAAGGUAUUCUAGCAUGUCGGGAUGGAUAUAUGAACAUAGUGAUGGGGCAAACUGAAGAAUAUAUCAAUGGUCAACUGAACAAUAAAUAUGGCAAUGCUUUCAUCUGAGGAAUAAUGGUAACAUGUGUCCAUUUUUCCUACUAAACAUGAUUUUUGCUUUUGAUUGAUGGAAGGCCAGGAUGUCAUUUUUCUCUGUUGAUGCAGUUCUCUCUCUCAGUACAUCAAACAGGACACUUGCAGAAGGGGCUUAGAGAAAAUAGAGGCGUUUCUUCAAGUGAGCUGAAGACUUGUUGCAGAAACCACUUGGCAGAUGUCAUACAGUAAACUGACAACAUCAAGGUUGAAACUUGAAUGGAGGGAAAGACAUCAUUCACCAUACUACUGCAUGUGAAUGGUACAUCAGAUAGAAGUAUCUUGGUUCUUGGAGCAAAUUUUCUUGUUCUCAUUUGCUUGUUUUGAUUAAAUCCUAGUAGUAGCGUAUUUAAAGCUCAGCACACUAGUGUAUUGCAUUUUCUUUAUUGAUGCAACCACAAAGACCCUGGACGGGCUCUUGGAUGCCUUGUUGCAUCAGAAGCACCAAUCUCAAAACAGUUGGGUACGGGUUCUAUACCAGUGUAUGCACAUGAUUCAUGAUUAGCUUACUCCGGAUAAGCAUUAAACUCUCACAUGCAAAACUUUA